AUUGAACGCUGGCGGCAGGCCUAACACAUGCAAGUCGAGCGGAUGAAGGGAGCUUGCUCCUGGAUUCAGCGGCGGACGGGUGUGUAAUGCCUAGGAAUCUGCCUGGUAGUGGGGGAUAACGUCCGGAAACGGGCGCUAAUACCGCAUACGUCCUGAGGGAGAAAGUGGGGGAUCUUCGGACCUCAUGCUAUCAGAUGAGCCUAGGUCGGAUUAGCUAGUUGGUGGGGUAAAGGCCUACCAAGGCGACGAUCCGUAACUGGUCUGAGAGGAUGAUCAGUCACACUGGAACUGAGACACGGUCCAGACUACUACGGGAGGCAGCAGUGGGGAAUAUUGGACAAUGGGCGAAAGCCUGGUCCAGCCAUGCCGCGUGUGUGAAGAAGGUCUACGGAUUGUAAAGCACUUUAAGUUGGGAGGAAGGGCAGUAAGUUAAUACCUUGCUGUUUUGACGUUAACAACAGAAUAAGCACCGGCUAACUUCGUG
RNAcentral lists this ribosomal RNA (484 nucleotides) under uncultured bacterium. RNAcentral's name for it is "partial 16S ribosomal RNA". It matches the Rfam family "Bacterial small subunit ribosomal RNA", at positions 30 to 507 of the family's 1533-position model. The record is from RNAcentral.